RNAcentral lists this ribosomal RNA (1777 nucleotides) under Clostridioides difficile. Its description in RNAcentral is "partial 23S ribosomal RNA". It matches the Rfam family "Bacterial large subunit ribosomal RNA", at positions 303 to 2101 of the family's 2925-position model. The record is from RNAcentral. Lineage: Bacteria; Bacillati; Bacillota; Clostridia; Peptostreptococcales; Peptostreptococcaceae.
GGACAUAUCAUAACGAAGAGGUAUCGUAAUUGAAGAGGUUUGGAAAGACCCACCACAGAAGGUAAUAGUCCUGUAUGUUAAACGAGAAGACUUCAGAUAUGAUCCAGAGUACCACGGGACACGUGAAACCCUGUGGGAAGCAGGAGGGACCACCCUCCAAGGCUAAAUACUACCUAGUGACCGAUAGCGUAUAGUACCGUGAGGGAAAGGUGAAAAGAACCCCGGGAGGGGAGUGAAAUAGAACCUGAAACCCUGCACUUACAAGCUGUGGAAGCACAUUUCUUGUGUGACCGCGUACUUUUUGUAGAACGGGCCAACGAGUUACGUUAAGUAGCAAGGUUAAGCACUUAAGGUGUGGAGCCGUAGCGAAAGCGAGUUUUAACUGAGCGUUCAGUUACUUGACGUAGACCCGAAACCGGGCGACCUACCCAUGAGCAGGAUGAAGCGAAAGUAAAAUUUCGUGGAGGUCCGAACCCACGAGCGUUGAAAAGCUCGGGGAUGACUUGUGGGUAGCGGUGAAAUUCCAAUCGAGCCCGGAGAUAGCUGGUUCUCCCCGAAAUAGCUUUAGGGCUAGCCUCAAGGUGAGAGAUACGGAGGUAGAGCACUGAAUGUCCUAGGGGGUAUUGCACCUACCGAAGACUAUCAAACUCCGAAUGCCGUCAUCUUAUACUUGGGAGUCAGACUGUGGGUGAUAAGAUUCAUAGUCGAAAGGGCAACAGCCCAGAUCGUCAGCUAAGGUCCCUAAAUGUAAGUUAAGUGGUAAAGGAUGUGGGAUUGCACAGACAACCAGGAUGUUGGCUUAGAAGCAGCCACUCAUUCAAAGAGUGCGUAAUAGCUCACUGGUCGAGUGAUCCUGCGCCGAAGAUUUCCGGGGCUAAAACUUACUACCGAAGCUACGGCAUCAGUAAUGAUGGGUAGGGGAGCUUCCCAUACGGGUUGAAGCAUGACCGUAAGGACAUGUGGACAGUAUGGGAGUGAGAAUGUUGGCAUGAGUAGCGAGAUGUGGGUGAGAAUCCCACAGGCCGUAAACCCAAGGUUUCCAGGGGAAGGUUCGUCCGCCCUGGGUUAGUCGGGACCUAAGCUGAGGCCGAAAGGCGUAGGUGAUGGACAACAGGUUGAUAUUCCUGUACUACCGAUAACCGUUUGAGAGAAGGGAUGACACAGUAGGAUAAGCUAAGCACACUGUUGGUUAUGUGUGCCCAAGCAUUGAGGCAGUCAAAGUAGGCAAAUCCGCUUUGAUAAUGCUGGGAUGUGAUGGGGAGCGAAAUUUAGUAGCGAAGUAGCUGAUUUCACACUGUCAAGAAAAGUCUCUAUCGAGGUUAAAGGUACCCGUACCGCAAACCGACACAGGUGGGUGAGGAGAGUAUCCUAAGGCCAGCGAGAGAACUGUUGUUAAGGAACUCGGCAAAAUGACCCCGUAACUUAGGGAUAAGGGGUGCCACCAUCAGGUGGCCGCAGAGAAUAGGCCCAAGCGACUGUUUACCAAAAACAUAGGUUUCUGCUAAGUCGCAAGACGAUGUAUAGGAGCUGACGCCUGCCCGGUGCUGGAAGGUUAAGGGGAUCUGUUAGAGCAAUCGAAGCAGUGAACUUAAGCCCCAGUAAACGGCGGCCGUAACUAUAACGGUCCUAAGGUAGCGAAAUUCCUUGUCGGGUAAGUUCCGACCCGCACGAAAGGCGUAACGAUUUGGGCACUGUCUCAACAACAGACUCGGUGAAAUUGUAAUUCCGGUGAAGAUGCCGGAUACCUGCGACAGGACGGAAAGACCCCAUGGAGCUU